UACGCAGGCGGCUUGAUAAGUUGGGUGUGAAAGCCCGGGGCUCAACCCCGGAACUGCAUUCAAAACUGUCUGGCUUGAAUACGGGAGAGGGAAGCGGAAUUCCUGGUGUAGAGGUGAAAUUCGUAGAUAUCAGGAGGAACACCAGUGGCGAAAGCGGCUUCCUGGCCCGAUAUUGACGCUCAUGUACGAAAGCGUGGGGAGCAAACAGGAUUAGAUACCCUGGUAGUCC
RNAcentral lists this ribosomal RNA (229 nucleotides) under uncultured bacterium. RNAcentral's name for it is "partial 16S ribosomal RNA". It matches the Rfam family "Bacterial small subunit ribosomal RNA", at positions 568 to 796 of the family's 1533-position model. The record is from RNAcentral.